This is a long non-coding RNA of Papaver somniferum (opium poppy), 2886 nucleotides long. RefSeq lists it as uncharacterized. The record is from RefSeq and is a predicted model, not a curated record. The transcript has 11 exons. Lineage: Eukaryota; Viridiplantae; Streptophyta; Magnoliopsida; Ranunculales; Papaveraceae.
ACUGAAAGAACAAAAAGGUUUUUUCUUUUUUUCUUUUCUUUUCUUCUCCUCUCUCUUCUCUCUCCGGGGAUAAGUAGGUAUUGUUCUUCAGAGAAAUCUAAAAUCUCCUCUAAUCUGAAAAUCAACAUCUUAUAUAAAAACGAUUAAUCAAUCACCCGGGGUUUUCAUCAUUCUCAAAACCUCAAAACCAGAAAUGUCAAUGUAUCACUAUAAAUCCUGUUCUUCGUAGCCCUAGAAAUUGAUUUUUUUCCCUGAAUCCCUAACAACCAAUUUAAUUUAUUGAGCAAGGUUGUAGCAAUCUUGUUGAUUCUUAUCAGGUGUAGAUUUGUGUUUGUAUGAAGAUAGAUGUAGAUGUAAUGUAGAUGAUUUUAGGGUUCUUACUGCUGUUGAGAUGGGAAAAAGGUUGAAGAAGCAUUUGAAUAGCCUCAAUGUGCCUAAGCAUUGGAUCCUUUACAAACUUGAACAGAUAUAGCAGCUUCUUACUCCUGGGUUUCUUUUUGCUAGUUGGCUUUGUUUCCACAAAUCACGAUUUUUUUUUAGCACCACAUGAUGAAAUCAAACCCCAUGUUAUACUAGAUAUAGCUGCUUCAAUGAAGAACAAAGAUGUCACGAAAGCUAUUCAGAAAGUUGCUGCUGCAUAUGACUGCAAGAUUGUUGAAGAUGUUCUUAGUCACCAACUAAAGCAAUUUGUGAUUGAUGGGAACAAGGUCAUACUGAGUGUAUCUAAUCCAGAGACCAGAGUUGACGAUGCAGAGUUUGAGGAGAAUGAAGUGUAUGCAAUUGUUAUAGUUGUCAGCAUGGGGGAGGGCAAGCCAAAACUAGUGGAUGAGAAGCAAACAACCAUUUAUAAAAGAGCCGAGGACAAAAGCUACAGUUUGAAGAUGAAAGCAUCUAGGUUUAUCUUCAGUGAAAUAAGCCAGAAAUUUCCGAUCAUGCCAUUUUCGGCAAGGGCUUUGGAGGAGAAGCGGGCACGACUGGGUUUGGUUGAAUGUAUGAACCAUGAGCUUUACUGUUCGAAGAGACGUAUUACAGCAUACCUGAAGCUUGCUUAUGGAUCCUUGUACAGACCUUGAUAUUCUUCUUGGAUGUGCUGAAAAUUGCAAGCAAUAACUAGUUCUCUACAGCCUCUUGACAAAAGUGAAUCAGUUCCAAGUAUGUUCAAACCGAAAGUGCUUCACUUUUACUUACUCAAUUGAUAAUUUGUGAUAUCAUUUCGUUGUAGUACAUACUUAGUGGAGUUGCUUCUUUCUUACGGUUACAUAUGUCCAAUCUGAUGCUCAGCCUGAUUAUACUUGUUUCAGAAGAGUAUUCUGCUAUCUCUUUGUACACGAAGGUUUUCAGUUUGAUUUUGCAUUUGAUGGAUAGAUUUUGAGUGCCAGCAAUGUCCAAUAACCUCGUAUUGCAAUGGUUUCCUCUGGAUAUUGUGUUAUAUUAGGUUUUAAUGUAGCCUAUCUUUUCGUUCUAUCUCCUGCAGUUAAGUAGCUCUAAUCUUUUGGGACAAACAAGUGGUUCAUCAAGUCUUUCUACAAUUUCCAGCAGCUGGGAUGCAAUAAUAGGGUUCAAGUACUGAUCCAUCUCGUCGUCGUACUACUGAGGAGAGUCCAAUAGCGUUCCGUAGGAUUACAGAUAUGCAAAGAAAGUGGUGUACUGAAAUUCGUCAUGGAAAUUGGUGUGUAGGUAUAACACCAAUUACACCUUGCAUGAACCUGCCCUAUUGCUUUUUGUUUUCGGAUCUCUGUAGUCUGAUUUACUUUAGUUAUAUAUAUUGUUUUUUUGAAUUUCCAUAUGUUAUUUGGUUUCUUCAAAGAGUUUCCCCUACUAUGAGCAUCAAAAGGAAAACUAAUUACGAGACUAUCCCAAAGUGUGACAUAACAAUUGCCAAUGACUUGUAAGUAUUUCUGAUUUCACACAUUAUUUAUAUAAGAAGUCGAUUUUAAUUGCAGAAACAAAACUGUUGUAACUUCUUUAUGGAACGAUCUUGCCACCAUUACGGGGCCAGAAUUGUUGGAUGUUGUUGAAAAAACUGUAGAAUGUUAGGUAGUACUUUAUUCCUAUUGUUUACUGCUUGCGUCAUGAAGUUUCACUUUGUAUGUAAGGGAAAAUUUCAUGGAGAUGCAUCAAAUCUGUUUUAAUUCCACCUAUUGUAGCUUCACAUUGUAUGGCUUGUAUGUUGUUCACUUCCUCUUCGAGUGUCUAAUAGAAGCUACAAUUGAAUGUGAAGAUAUUUGACCUAGUUAUAUCAGAUUAGAUUACUUGAGUUCUUCUUAUGUGAGUGAUAAUAUAUAAUAUGACAAAGAAUACGACUAUGAUAAUUCUUUUAUAUUUAUGUUAUUACUGAAGAGGUCUUAUUUGUCGAUGCGUAAAGCUCAUUGUGCAUCACUAAUGGAGUUUCUGUGCUUAGGGCCUGCAAUGAUAUACUGAGACUCGUCAUGGAAAGUGGUGGCAAGGGUUGCGAGGUUGUUUCCUUAACUGCAGAGUAAGGUGUCAUGUGCUUCGUUGAGAGUCUCUAACAUUUGGGGCUCACACAACAGUGAGAGGCAUGGUAGUCUCAAGGACUAUUUGGUAAUGAGAAUCCAAGGAAGAAAUCAAGAAGCAGAGUUCGUUAAAGUGAGGGGUUGUUAGCUGGUGGGAUAUUUUCCAUCGUUCCGAAGAUGUAUGCUAUUUUUUGUUCACUUUUCCCUUAGUAUAUUGAACUGCUGUUAGUUCCAGUCAUGGUGUUGUUGGUUUUGCUCAUGUAAUGAAGACUUUAUUGUCGUUUAAUAUCCGUGAUAUAGCAUCGAUAUGUCUCUGGUAUAUUGAUACUUAUAAUCUGGGAAAAAUUUCUUUUUAUUCAGAUUUUUCUAGUAUAUUUAUUUAUUUGGAAAUUUUGGUUUAUUUUGGGACUGA